AGCGAACGCUGGCGGCAGGCCUAACACAUGCAAGUCGAACGAACUCUUCGGAGUUAGUGGCGGACGGGUGAGUACCACGUGGGAACGUGCCUUUAGGUUCGGAAUCACUCAGGGAAACUUGUGCUAAUACCGAAUGUGCCCUUCGGGGGAAAGAUUUAUCGCCUUUAGAGCGGCCCGCGUCUGCUUAGCUGGUUGGUGAGGGAAAGGCUCACCAAGGCGACGAUCAGUAGCUGGUGUGUUAGGAUGCUCAGCCACAUUGGGACUGAGACACGGCCCAAACUCCUACGGGGAGCAGCAGUGGGGAAUCUUGCGCAAUGGGCGAAAGCCUGACGCAGCCAUGCCGCGUGAAUGAUGAAGGGCUUAGUAUUGUAAAAUUCUUUCACCGGGGACGAUAAUGACGGUACCCGGAGAAGAAGCCCCGGCUAACUUCGUG
RNAcentral lists this ribosomal RNA (433 nucleotides) under uncultured bacterium. RNAcentral describes it as "partial 16S ribosomal RNA". It matches the Rfam family "Bacterial small subunit ribosomal RNA", at positions 29 to 507 of the family's 1533-position model. The record is from RNAcentral.